This 509-nucleotide small RNA is filed under the name Arabidopsis thaliana (thale cress). The record is from RNAcentral. Lineage: Eukaryota; Viridiplantae; Streptophyta; Magnoliopsida; Brassicales; Brassicaceae.
AUCCUUCUAUUGAUUUUUUUUCUACUCAAAAUUUUGACCUUAAUGUACUUUUUCUAUCCUUUUCGUGAUCUUUGCUAUAUUACGGGACAAAAAUUAUAUGUUCAGACAUUGUUUUCCAAUUUUUUGCAUGUAUCAAAGCUCUUAUAAACAAGAUAGGGUAUUCCUACAUAGCUGGUGGGACCCACGGCAAAUGGAUCAUAAAGUCUUCAAAAACGAAUAGAUACGAUUGCAUUGCAUGUAGUAACGGAUGCGAUCAUAUCAGCACUUAUGCAUCAGAUCCCAUCAAUACUCUGCAGUUAAGCUUGCUUGGGCGAGAAUAGUAUUAGGAUGGGUGACCUCCGGGAAAGUCGUUGUGUUGUAUCAUUCUUUUUUUCGGUUUUUCUCUAUUUGUUUUGUUAAAAAUGUAUGACUAUAUAACUUUUAGAUUGUGAGGCGAAACUUCGCAUGUGAUACCUUUUCGGAAAGCCCAAAGAGAGCUCUCCAAUGAAUGAGGAAGGAAAUUGGAAUUC